RNAcentral lists this ribosomal RNA (1508 nucleotides) under Graus nigra. RNAcentral describes it as "partial 16S ribosomal RNA". It matches the Rfam family "Bacterial large subunit ribosomal RNA", at positions 134 to 2586 of the family's 2925-position model. The record is from RNAcentral. Lineage: Eukaryota; Metazoa; Chordata; Actinopteri; Centrarchiformes; Girellidae.
AGCCUACCAGCUAGCCCUCGUCAAAGCAAAAACAACAAACCCAUAUUAAUAAACCCUAAUACACUAACACUUACCUAAACAAAUCAUUUUUCCCCCCUAGUACGGGCGACAGAAAAGGGAACACGGAGCAAUAGAGAAAGUACCGCAAGGGAAAACUGAAAGAGAAAUGAAAAAAACCAGUAAAGCCAGGAUAAGCAGAGAUUUAAGCUCGUACCUUUUGCAUCAUGAUUUAGCCAGCACUAAAUAAGCAAAAAGCCCUUUAGUUUAUUACCCCGAAACUAAGUGAGCUACUCCAAGACAGCCUGUUAAUAGGGCAAACCCGUCCCUGUGGCAAAAGGGUGGGAAGAGCUUUGAGUAGAGGUGACAGACCUACCGAACCUAGUUAUAGCUGGUUGCCCGAGAAUUGGAUAGAAGUUCAGCCCCGCAGUUUUUUUAAUCACUUCCGUCUAACCCCUCCUGACACCCGAAGAAACCGCGAGAGUUAGUCAAAGGGGGUACAGCCCCUUUGAAACAAGACACAACUUUCCCAGGAGGGUAAAGAUCAUAAUAAAUAAGGUUUCAUGUUAUGGUGGGCUUAAAAGCAGCCAUCCCAAUAGAAAGCGUUAAAGCUCAGACAUGCUAUUAUCCCCUAUUAUUCCGACAAUUAAAUCUUAGCCCCCUAACCUUACCGGGCCUUCCCAUGCCCUACAUGGGAGCGACCAUGCUAAUAUGAGUAAUAAGGGGGCCAGAGGCCCCCUCCUUGCACACGUGUAAAUCGAAAUGGACUAACCAUCGAACUUUAACGGCCCCAAACAGAGAGGGUAAUGAACAACAUAUUAAAUAACCAGAAAACCAUCCAAUAAAAUCUACCGUUAAACCCACACUGGUGUGCCCUCAAGGAAAGACUAAAAAGAAAAGAAGGAACUCGGCAAACACUUAGAGCCUCGCCUGUUUACCAAAAACAUCGCCUCUUGCAAAAUUAAAAAAUAAGAGGUCCCGCCUGCCCUGUGACUUUAUGUUUAACGGCCGCGGUAUUUUGACCGUGCGAAGGUAGCGAAAUCACUUGUCUCUUAAAUGGGGACCUGUAUGAAUGGCACAACGAGGGCUCAACUGUCUCCUUUUCUAGGUCAAUGAAAUUGAUCUCCCCGUGCAGAAGCGGGGAUACAACCAUAAGACGAGAAGACCCUAUGGAGCUUUAGACACCCGAACGCAGGCCAUGUCAAAAACCCCCUAACAAAGAAUUAAACAACUAAGCCUGCCCAUAUGUCUUUGGUUGGGGCGACCAUGAGGCAACAAAUAACCCUCACGUGGAUUUGGGAGUUUUCCCUCCUACAACUAAGAGCUCCAGCUCUAAUGAACAGAACUUCUGACCAAUCAGAUCCGGCAACGCCGAUCAACGAACCGAGUUACCCUAGGGAUAACAGCGCAAUCCCCUUUUAGAGUCCAUAUCGACAAGAGGGUUUACGACCUCGAUGUUGGAUCAGGACAUCCUAAUGGUGCAGCCGCUAUUAAGGGUUCGUUUGUCAACG